Molecule: long non-coding RNA, 862 nt
Organism: Drosophila pseudoobscura
Lineage: Eukaryota; Metazoa; Arthropoda; Insecta; Diptera; Drosophilidae
Exons: 2
Source: RefSeq, a predicted model, not a curated record
UUCUGUUGCUUAAUCUCCAAGCGAAGGUUGAGAGAGCGAGAGAGAUAGAGCGGGAGAGUAGCAGCCGGCUCUUGGUGUGGGGCGAGAGCAACAAAGAUAGCAGCAAACUGGUUUUUUUUUAUUCUUCCAUAAACAUCGUGCUCUAAGAACAAUGUACUAGCAAACAGACUCGGACACACAUGUGGUGAAAGUCUCUGUGGCGGCAGAACCGGCAAGAGCCACUAACAAAAUGAAUUUGCACAGCUGUUUUAUUAUUACUCUCACGCUCUCUCGCACACUGCUUUAUCUACAAAUUGCUAACCGAGUUUUUGUUCCUAUAUUUUUUCACUGACGUGUACUUUGCCAAAGACCAAAGAGAGAGCCGGAUCACAAUGCGUGGAGGAAGCUUUAAAUCUGCUAUAAAUGACGUGUAAAAAGCUGAUUGAAUGGCAUGCACACAUACAUCCAUACGUACAUGAUGCACGCACACAACACAGCCAGACAGAAGAAGAAGAAGGAGCGGCAGAGACGGCGAUAAAGUUGGCGCAAGCGCCCUAAAGCUAGACUACAGGAGUUUGGGUACAACAAUAGCUGAGAAAUGGGCCUGUAGGGACCGUUCGCCGCAUACGUCAGAGUUCCCAGACAUGUCCAAUAUGAACAGCGGAAUAUGUGAAUGAACUUUGCGGCUAAUUUGUUAAUAACAUACGCUACGGUAAUUUAUGCGUUACCAACUGCUAUGAAUAGGCACAGCUUUGCGCAUAAAUUGGUUAAUUAUGCACAGCACGGCCAGAAAUGCCACACGUCACAGUGCCGCAUAGGCCGGAAUACUCGAAUAAAAAGAUGUUAACGUCAACUGAAUUUGUUGCAAUGCAACCAAACGAAA